This is a long non-coding RNA of Phyllostomus discolor (pale spear-nosed bat), 1742 nucleotides long. RefSeq lists it as uncharacterized. The transcript is spliced from 4 exons. The record is from RefSeq and is a predicted model, not a curated record. Lineage: Eukaryota; Metazoa; Chordata; Mammalia; Chiroptera; Phyllostomidae.
UCUGGCACACAGGAAAGGAGCCCCUGGAAAAACCUUCUCUAAAGAGAGUCAUUAUACAUGUACAAUGUGCAGAGGAUGCUGGUCUUCCAUCAGUUUCAUCGCCACAUACAUAAAGUGUCCGAAAGUCCUAUCUAAUACACAAGAUAACAAUCACACAGGAGUGUGUGCGCAUAUACUCGUAUAUGUAUAUAUGUAUAUGUGUGUGGGUGGAUAUAUAGGUCUGGUUCUGCCUGUGCGUAAUAUUCCUACUUCACCUAAAUGAAUUGCUACCCAAUAUCCCCAUGAAAACAUAAAUGAAUAAAAAAUUAACAUGAGAGUAUUAAAAUACUGUUAACAAAAGGGCAAAACCAGCUUGCAUUACCUUCUUACCUAACUAUAGCCCUCACACUAGCCACAAUAGAUGGUCUAUUUCCACAAAAGUUGGAGACCACAAAACAAGGAAACCCAGGUGAGCCUGUGCAGUCCUUCUAAUAAGCUAUAGGUAGUGAACAUAUAAAAUCAGACGGGAUUCUGGUGUCAAAUCAUCCAGAUCUGGGUGGUGCAGGGCAAUACUGGCCAAACACGAGUUAGGGGAAGGGUACUUGGUAGAACCCCGCUGCAUUCACAGCCCAGCCCCCACUCUAGUUAGAGGAAUACUAAAGUGAGAAAGAGCAUGACCCCAGUGAAUAAUGAUGAAGCCACACAGCAGCUCCAUCACCCUUCUUAAUACAAUGUCAUGUUGUUAAUCUAGCAGUAGACGUCCUUAUACUGAGCUAGGCGGCCAACAAAGACCGAAUAAAGAAAUAAACUAAAAGCCCCAAGGAAAGCAAGAUGUUUGCAUUGUAGAGAACAAUUAUAAUAUUUGGAUUCACCCUGGGAAAUCUACCCCCUAGUAAAAGAAAUGUUCUUCCUUAAAGGUACCUUUAAUUUAAAGUGAGUACAUAGAGUCCUUGUACAAUCUUGAAGAAGAAAUCUUGAAGAAAUUUUGAAGAUAAAAGCUGAAUGACUUAUAUCAUACAAUAUAAAAUUCACCACAAAGCUUAGUCAUUAAUACAGUGUAGUAAUGACACAAAGGCAUACAUAAUAGACCAAUGGAUCACAAUAGAGAGUUGAGAAACAAAUUCACACAUAGAUAUUUACUUGAUCUGUAAUGAAGGUGACAGACACUGCAUUGUACUGAGUAAAGGAUGUCUUUUUGAUAAAUGAGUUGGAUUAAUUAGCUAUCCAUAUGGAGAAAAGAAAAGGUGACCCCUCCCGCAACUCACAUGUACUCUACAAUUCACUUGAAGUGAAUGUUAAAUCUAAAUACAAAAAGCAAAACAAAGAAUUUAGAAGAAAAGAUAGCAGAUUAUCUACAUAACCUUGAAGAAGGCAAAUUACUACAAAUGGAUACAAAACGCACUAAUCAAAAGGGGAAACAAAUGAUAAACUGGCUUAUUACAAUUAAGAACUUCUUUUCAAAAAAAGAACCAAAAAGAAAAUAAAAAUCAAGCCACAAAAGAUAUUUGCAAUACAUUUACUCAACAGAGAUUCAUAUCCUUAAUACACUGUAUAAAUAACUCCUACAAAACAUUCAGAAAUCAGAAAAUCCAAAAGAACAAAAAAGGCAAAAAGUCCAUUACGUGUUUUUCCUUAAAAUAAAAGACUUAUUUUUCAUUUUCACCACUAACUACUGAUUUGGGUAUCCUGAGUAUGUCAGCUAUCUCCCGCUAUUGGCUUCUAGUGGGUAGAAGCAGGAGGUGCUACUAAACUUUUCCAACGCA